ACUCUCAGCAACGGAUAUCUUGGCUCUUGCAUCGAUGAAGAACGCAGCGAAAUGCGAUACGUAGUGUGAAUUGCAGAAUUCCGCGAAUCAUCGAGUCUUUGAACGCAAGUUGCGCCCGAGGCUUGUCCGAGGGCAUUUCCGCUAGAGCGUCACCGCGCCCC
RNAcentral lists this ribosomal RNA (161 nucleotides) under Cirriphyllum piliferum. Its description in RNAcentral is "5.8S ribosomal RNA". It matches the Rfam family "5.8S ribosomal RNA". Rfam says of the family: 5.8S ribosomal RNA (5.8S rRNA) is a component of the large subunit of the eukaryotic ribosome. It is transcribed by RNA polymerase I as part of the 45S precursor that also contains 18S and 28S rRNA. Lineage: Eukaryota; Viridiplantae; Streptophyta; Bryopsida; Hypnales; Brachytheciaceae. The record is from RNAcentral.